Molecule: ribosomal RNA, 429 nt
Filed under: uncultured bacterium
Lineage: Bacteria
Description: bacterial SSU rRNA
Rfam family: Bacterial small subunit ribosomal RNA
Source: RNAcentral
UGGGGAAUUUUGCGCAAUGGGGGAAACCCUGACGCAGCAACGCCGCGUGAGUGAUGAAGGCCUUCGGGUCGUAAAGCUCUGUCAGAGGGGAAGAAAUGCAGGGGUGCUAAUAUCAUCUUUGCUUGACGGUACCCUCAAAGGAAGCACCGGCUAACUCCGUGCCAGCAGCCGCGGUAAUACGGAGGGUGCGAGCGUUGUUUGGAAUUAUUGGGCGUAAAGCGCGUGUAGGCGGUUUGAUAAGUCUGAUGUGAAAGCCCCGGGCUCAACCUGGGAAGUGCAUUGGAAACUGUCAGACUUGAAUACGAGAGAGGGUAGUGGAAUUCCUAGUGUAGGAGUGAAAUCCGUAGAUAUUAGGAGGAACACCGGUGGCGAAGGCGGCUACCUGGACCGAUAUUGACGCUGAGACGCGAAAGCGUGGGGAGCAAACAG